Molecule: ribosomal RNA, 317 nt
Filed under: uncultured archaeon
Lineage: Archaea
Description: bacterial SSU rRNA
Rfam family: Archaeal small subunit ribosomal RNA
Source: RNAcentral
GGUUAAGUCAGGCAACGAGCGAGACCCGUACCCACAGUUGCCAGCGGCUGCUCCGGCAGGCUGGGUACACUAUGGGGACCGCCUCUGCUAAAGAGGAGGAAGGAGCGGGCGACGGUAGGUCAGUAUGCCCCGAAUUCUCCGGGCUACACGCGGGCUACAAUGGAUGGGACAAUGGGUCCCGACACCGAAAGGUGAAGGCAAUCUCUUAACCCCAUUCUUAGUUCGGAUUGAGGGCUGAAGCUCGCCCUCAUGAAGCUGGAAUCCGUAGUAAUCGCGUUUCAACAUAGCGCGGUGAAUACGUCCCUGCUCCUUGCACA